Long non-coding RNA from Zophobas morio, 384 nucleotides. RefSeq lists it as uncharacterized. The transcript has 3 exons. The record is from RefSeq and is a predicted model, not a curated record. NCBI's taxonomy places the organism in Eukaryota, Metazoa, Arthropoda, Insecta, Coleoptera, Tenebrionidae.
UAUUGUACCUACAAAUUUUAACGUUCAUUUCAUGUUUUAUGUUGUUUAAAGCAGGGGGAGAAAGCAUUAACAAAAAAUCAAUUGCUGACCUUGGAGUAUGAAAUCAAUACAUGCAAUUAAGUAAUUAUUAAAAUGUACGUACUUGGACGGAUACGAAAGAUGUCAUUAAAGUUAAAUGAUCUUUUUUCUUGAUAGCUGUUUUGACUUAAGCAGCGGCGGCUCGUGAAUUAAACAAGUGUCAACUCAAGAAACCAAACGAAGAAAAACUCAGUCCGGAUCAAUAUAUCUGUAUUUAAGUUGGUUUACAAUUUUCUGGAAUUAUUUUGCGUGUGUAAGCAGUUUUGGCGACGAUAAUUAAACGUGAACUAAAGUGAAGGAAACGGA